CCAGGCUCACCCGGAUCCCCCGGCCCUCCCGGAUCUCCCAGGCUCACCCGGAUCCCCCAGGCCCUCCCGGAUCGCGGGGAAGGGGCUCUCCCGCUGCCCUCACAGCCCUCUCUAAUACAGUUCCCAGUGAAGUCAGUGAAGCGAGUCCCGUUCGCUUGAAGAAAGUAGACAUCUAUUGGUAAAUAAAGGAGUGUGAUCACAGGACCACAAGGACCCUGCCUUCAGGUUAGCCGUCUAAAAGAACAUUUGGAGCAACAAAGGCAGGUUGGUAUGCAGGACCAUGAUUUCCUUGUGGACGCCAUUUUCAUUGCAGAUAACCAGUUACUGAGUUACUCCUGAAAGGAUGAAGAAUGUAUUUUUAAAAAUACCUGUUCAGGGAAUCACAGAACUCACUAUGACAUGGGAUGAAGAGAGGAUAGACAGCUUUGCUCUAAGGAGGAAUGAAUUUUUUCUUCAGACCCUUAGAUUUAGAAACAUUCCCUUUCUUCAUCCAGGCACAAGCAGGGUACACCUCAACAGGAAGAACAAGUGAAUAAGGUCAGGAUGUAACCUUUAUAUACCCAGAAAUAUUAUUAAUUUCUAACAUGAUAAAACAACACCAUUUUGUGAGAAAAUGCAGCAUGCAGCAAGGAGAAAGAGAUGGGGAGGGGGGAAGAGAUUUUCUUACCUUUACAUCUGAGAAGUAGGUUUUCAGCAUAUUGGAACUUGGGUACCGGGUGUAAAAGAACAUGAGCUUGGCCUUUUUCAAGUGAUUCGGUGACAAGCCUUCCUGCAUGUAGGAUUGAAUUAGUAAAGGAAAAUUCUUUUCUCGAGAGAGCUGUUUCUGAACGUACGGAGCUAGCAAAGUGCCCCAUUGAAUGCUAUACGGUUCCCCAGACCACAGGAGAAAGUAUUAAUCUUUGAACUGCUGCUCUGUAAUUUUCUGUGAAAAGGGCAGACAUGGGACGAGAGGCCAUGUAACUUAAACCCUGUGUCUCCUAUCUCUUUAGGUGCUGGGUCUCAGGGACCUUGCAAGUUUACGGAUUGUGUGCCAUAUGUACGUUCACUUGUUGCUACGGAAACAAAUGCAGGAAGCAUGUGCCGCAGAAAACUUAUCGGGAGCUUUUUUCUCCUUCUCCUUUGCAACGCCAGCUAAAGUUUCUUUUCCUCUCGGUGUUGUGCCGCUUGCACACAUUAAAACCAAUGCAUGUAAGAAUCAGAGGCACUUUAUGAUUUUGAGCAGUUUUACACAGGCAGCACAUUUCACCUGUUCCAUUCGUGUCGAUAAAUUUUAACAUCUCCGGUAGCUCUCUCUAGUCCUGCUGCUGCUUUGCUCCAGUGGCUGCCCUGCAAAUCAAAGUGAAAUUUGUAGUAGACAGAGCCCCUUGGCCGCCGAAUCCCUCUGCCACAAACUUGUCACCUCCAGAUUUACACAGUUAACUCCUUGGAGAGCGGAGCUGUAUUUAGGGCUAACCAAUCAAUACGUGUGGGCUAGCAGAUCAAUAAAUGGCCACUUACCCUAUAAGGCAGCCUAUUUAUCCUGGAAACAUCAUUACCUUUUAGAUCUGUAAACAGAAGCAACUAAAAGAGUUCCCAAGGGAAUGUGAAGCUAACCAUAACAAUCUCAGCUUGCUGAUUUUUCUCCCAGCUUCUUGGCUCCCUUUUGUGAACUGCGUGCUAGGACGGCUCUGGUCACAUCUGUGCCGCAGGCUGGCCCUGCCAUUUCCUCAGCAAAUUAAUGGCUUUAUAAUUUAUCAGAAAUGAAGAUGCACGUGGAGAAAAUCAAUGUGGCCCCCACAAGGUCAAUUAAGGGUUCUUCCCAGAAGCUUCUCUAAGGACUGUUUCUCCUAAACACAAUUGUUGAAAAUUUCGCUCGGUUCACACCUUACGGCGGGGGAAGGUCAACCAAGUUGGCAGAUGUGCUGCAGCCAAGGUGCCUCCUCUGCCUUACAGCCGGGUGCACGUCAGCACAGAGCAUCCCACUCCAGGCCUAGAGACAGGAAACCCAGACUAAUUUCUAUCAGCAGCCUACUGAUGAUUAGCUAGGCUUUUCCAGCAAAAUUCCUUUUUCUCUAAUUCCUGAAAUCUGCUGAAACCCUCUCCCUUUAUUUCAGUUACAAGGUUCAUUUUUAGAUUAGAAAAAUGUAGCAUAUAUUAAAAAAAAAAAAAAAAGACAUUGACAAUAUUAGUUUAAAAACCUCUUAUUAUCUGGAAGUACAUGGAAAAUGGCUCAGCUGAACUUGCAUUUUGUUUUAGAUGCUUAAUGAUUACAAAGAAGAUAAUUUAUGACUGACAUACUUCUUGUGCCAAGAGAAGAGUUGAAAGAACCUCCAGUUACCUCCAUUAGACUGAUAGAGAAGUCUAAAAGAGCAUUACACUCUGCAGUGCCAUCUGUCAAAAUACGUAAGUGAAAUAAUAGUAGCAAGCUGUCACCUAUUGCUUAGUGAUAAGAGUUUUAGACAAAUCAAAACUUCUAUGCCAGAAAUCCAUUUUGUUAUGCGAUCCUUUCAGGAAAGUGGGGGUCCAAAGGGGAACUCCAGUAGGAGAGAAAAAAAAGGUAAUCCCGAGUCUCCUUAAUUUGCAAUUCCUCUGACGCCAACAACACGUUAACAUCGGGUUUGGUGUAUAUUCUCUUACAAUGCAAGCUCAAGGAUGGACUUAAACUUAAAAAAAAAAACCCUCAUAUUUGCUGGAUUUAAGCAUAUUAGACAGUUGUCUAAGCAUUUGGAUUCCUUCUGCAUUUAGGAUUUUUAAAUAUUUUCUGCUCUAAUGCCAGAGGAUAUUGAUAUUGAAAGAAACAUGUAUUAAAAGAUGCUCUGAGACUCAAAUUCCCAGAAAUCCAUUUUUUAUUAAAAUUAUACUUGUUCUUAAGCACUUGGCAGCCUUAAAGCAAUAUCAAAUAUGCAACAAAUCUGUAUAUCUUGAUCCUAAGGUUAACGCUUUACUGUGAUAAAAGAUAUGAUCUGUAAUAAUCUAGCAAAAAAUAGUUAAUGACAGACUUAAGAGGUAAGAAUUAGAUAACCCAUUGCUAUUUCAGAAAAAAAAAACCCCAAACCAAAAAACUAAACUGACCAAUUGCUUAAUUUCCUUUUUAAGUGCUUGGGCUGAAAAGCAACUGUUCUUCCAAGAAAGCACUAGCUGUUUCCAGGAUACUUACACACGCACAAUGACUCAUGAUGAAAUAGAUUCAGUAAACAUACAGCUGUACCGAACACGAGCUAAGCCCCAUUCAAGGCCAGGAAAGAAAACGAGCACAAAUAAAUAUUAAGGAGGUAAAGGGAGGAGGGGUGCCGAAUGGAACGCAAACAAGCUCUGUCCCAGCAGCUCGUGUGGCUUGCCUCAAUUCUCUUAGCUAUAGCUUUGUGAAGACAGAUGACAUUCAAUUCUAUGGGUAAUGCAAAAUAGACAAUAACUGCUGAAACUUGAGCCAGCUGCCAGGUGUAAAAAAAAAAAAAAAAAAAAAAAAAAAAAAAAGGAAAGGAAAAAAAAAGGAGAGAAAGAAAAGAUGAUAAAUCCAUAAAUUAAUGAAAGACAUCUGCUCAGGAACAUAAAAGAUCAGAGGAACAGUGUACUGCAGCUGAACCUAAAGCAGUGUUCAAACAACCUGAGAGUCUCAGAGUUGUGGGUUUACACAGUACAACGCUGCCUCAGCUAACACAGCAGCAGCAGAAAAAUGGCAAAGCCCUAAGAAAUGGGAAGUGGAGACUGGGAACAAAACAUAUGAGGACAAAACAUAUACAUGCUCUUGUGUGUUUUAACAGGAGAAGCACAGGGGUGGCACUGCACAGCAUUUGAUUCAUUUGCACUUCAAUCCUCCUCCUAGGUAAUGCUCCUCUUUUGCAAAAAUAUUUUUCAGCAGAGAUGAUCUUUCACUCCUGCUACUCUCAGCCUGAGCCCCCACAAAUGCUCUAACAGGAUUUUCUAGCCCACGCAUGCACUGAGCUGAAGGAAAAGUGGUAAGAAUAGGAGGUAUCAGAUAAAAAAAAAAUCUGAAGCAGCAAAGCCAAGUUGCUCCUUAAGUUACACCUCAGGUACUUUUAAUCAGCAAAGCUCCAAAUAAAUGCACCUCAGAGCAUCUUCAAGUCCCACCAAAGAAGGGCUGGCUGGCUGCAAAGCAUUUGUUCAUGGCCCAGGUUUUAUCAACAGCACGGAGUUAUCCAGCUUACUGUACAUUCUCUUUUUUUUUUUUUUAAGUUUAAUUAGUUUAAUUCUAGUCAGAUGUAAUAACUCCUCAUUUCAAAAUGUUGUAAUUCAGUAAUUAUAGCUUUUGCAUAUUGUGACUUUGAAAGUUAUUCCAGUUGGAUUGGAAUUCUGUUUAAAAAUAAAUAAAAUUGUAGAAAGUUGCACUAAUGUUUCUAAGCUCUCCUGCCAGGGAGAACACACUAAACUUCUUCACCUUUACAGAUGUCUUAACAGCACACAAACUGCUGUUGUGCUUCAAUUUUGAUCUAUGCAAAUGUUUUGUGACUGAACAAGGCUAUUUUUCUUGAGAUGCAAAGAGGAUGCAUGACAAAGAAAGAUCACGCAGAAAAACAAUUCACUGUCUGUUUCUUUUUGAAUUUGAAUAAAACUUAAUAUUUGAUUAAACAGAUUAGUUUGCAAAGAUACAGACUGCAUUCAUGACCAAGAUGGGAAUUCAGACUGCAGGUGCAUCUUAUCUUGUUUAGCAACAUACACAAACAUUAACCAUUUCCUUCUGCAAUUCAGCAAAGAAUGAUCAGAUACAUUUUACACCCCUUGGUUUAAAAAAAAAAAAAUCCAAGAAAACAAAACCUGAACUUGGCUGUAUCUGCUGGUCUUAUGUUCUCAUCCUGGCUGCAUUGUCCAGGAAAGCAGAUGUUACUUUCUGCAGGGAAGAAAGAUCUGCCUCUUUCAAGAAAUUUAUUCCCUAUACGUGUACAUUCAACCAUGUAAAAUAAAAGUGCCAUGACAGAAUUGACCAGAAACAAACCAACCUCCACACCACGCCUUUCCCUGGAAAACUGUAAGCUACCUGGACACAUGAAAAAAACAUUCAUCCCUACAGCUGAGCUGUACAGCAGGGUACACGUGUAGAAGCGUUAUUUAAUAAACCCGGUCUGUAUCUAAACUCAGAACAAACUGCAGUCUGCACUAGUGCCGAGGUGGGAAAGUCAGAGUGCUUUCCCAGUGGCAGGGAAAGAAGCAGGGCAGCAAAAAAUAAAAGGGAUGACUGUAGCACCAGGCAUUUCUCCUGGCUAUCCCUUGGAGCAACAGGGGAGCCUUGCACCCCUGUUUCAGCAGAAGCAACAAGCUCCAUUAGCGAGCAUCAGUGAGAAUGAGCAGCAGAAAGGGGAAGAAAUGGGAGGGGUGGGGGAGACAUGCUCCACGGGUGGUGAGGAUCAAGGGCAGCCCUAGAACUACUCCUAGUUCACCUCCCCUCACUGCUCUCCCAGGAUGGGAGAACUACUUUUAUACAAAAACAAUUAGUAUGCCACUGUACUGUUUGGUAGAAAUUAAUUGCCCUGGCCUGAGUCUUGCCCUCAGCUGCCUCUCCUGGUGACCUCAGGACUGCUUUCCAAGCGCUGCUCUUGCAUUUCAAUAUGCAGGAGAAAUCUUUUGUUUGGAACUCCCCAGGUAAUUGGCACCACCUCUGAGUGAUGUUGCAUCUAGACUGCCUCCUCUCUAUUGCCUUACAAUGUAGACAGUGAGGAGAUUUCCCCCUGCUACCAAAGGCUCAACAAGAACAUUUUCUGGGGAAGAGGUACCUCAAGCACCACAUCCACUACCAGCUGGUUCUCAAAACCAGUAACACCUAAAGAAGGUGCUGUUCAACACAAAACACUUUCCCUUAUAGGAAUGGGAUUAUUCACACAGGUUAGACAGCACCAACCCCAACUCAGACUAGACCCAAGCUGGAUCAGAGUGACGCUAAUGGGCUUUGGACCUGCAGCGCCUGCCUUGCCCCAGGGGUGUCCACUACCAUGGGAGGCGUAGGAAAUCCAGGUAACCAGCAGGUCUGGAGCCCUGACAGCACCCUCCUGAGGAUUUAACAAGUCUAUAGAAGAUGUAGUUAAAUUAUUCUAAAACCACCAGGGUUGUCAAUCACCCAGAAGAUACAGCCUUGGGCAUCUGCCUCUGCAGAAUACCUCUCCAAGGGAUGCAAGUUCCUCACCAUUCCUACUAUUACCCAGAGAGGGGCAGAGCUAUUCUGUUGCAAUUAGUUUCAUCAUCUUGGGAGUGAAAUUAGAUACAUCUAAGGCUUGGUGCUUGUGUUGCUGCCUUCUGCUGGGGUCUCUAAACUGGGAAAAAUUAUCCAUCUACUCGCUCUUCAUGCAAAAUCCUCAAUUUUAGCAUUGUACCUGGAACUUUUGACCAAAAAUCACAUUAUAGGAGAAGAUGGAAGAACUGGGAGGCAUUGCUGCUACAAGAGAAAAAAAAAAGAAAAACCGAAAAACCAACCGAAAAACCAACCAAAAAAACCUCGUACUAGUUUCCAGGCAGAAAAAAAAAAGGGAAAAAAAAGAUUACUAUGUCUGGAUAUGCCUAAAUAAAGGCAGAGAUGAACUUGUUGCCCUAAGUAUAGCCUGCUAUUGAGCUAAAAUGAGCAAUUUUAUUAUCUCUUUUUUUUUUUUCCUUAAGCAGGGGAAGUGUCCUGUAAAUUUAAUACAGCUGAAGUUUUAUAUUUAAUUGUUCUCUCUAGCUUUCCAAAAUAAUUUGCUUUGUGUAUGUUAGGACAAAAGAUUUCUGUGUAUGGCUGAACAGAGGUUAAUCAUGCAUAGCAGGCAGCUGCACAAGGGCUGAGGAACAGACCUCUGGGUGGGGGAAAGAACUUGAUGCAGCCUGAAUAUAUCAGUACCUGUGUCUUUUGUGCUUCCUUUCCCUUACACACUUGAGAGCUGAACUCUCACAGACGGCCGGAUAGUGGCUCUCUGAGAGCCCCAGCCACUACACCAUUAACACGGAUUAUGCACUGGCCUGGCAGGGCAGGGAAAAGAGGUGGCCUGGCCGUAGCUGGAAUGGUUUUUGGCCGAGGGCAAUGCCCCCUCGAUCACCUCCCUGCCUGAGGAAAGAUCUGCCAGCCCAGGGAAACCCACUGGCACUCAGGUCAUGCGUUUGGCUGCCUUCCUGACCCCACGAGGCGGGCUAAAGGCUGGGGGAGGGCCAGUGGCUUUUGUAGGUGAGCACCAUUGCUGAAAGAGCACUGUCAGCCAACACCACAUGUUUUAUUUGGCCUCGCCAAGCUCCCGCCCCAGCACCCCGUGAACACCCCACUCCUGCAGCACCUGGGGGAGCCCCCUGGCACCGGCAUGGCCCCUCGUCCU
Prinia subflava (tawny-flanked prinia) is the source of this 7262-nucleotide long non-coding RNA. RefSeq lists it as uncharacterized. Lineage: Eukaryota; Metazoa; Chordata; Aves; Passeriformes; Cisticolidae. The record is from RefSeq and is a predicted model, not a curated record. The transcript is spliced from 5 exons.